RNAcentral lists this ribosomal RNA (70 nucleotides) under Rhodospirillum rubrum. RNAcentral's name for it is "partial 23S ribosomal RNA". Lineage: Bacteria; Pseudomonadati; Pseudomonadota; Alphaproteobacteria; Rhodospirillales; Rhodospirillaceae. The record is from RNAcentral.
GUGUGGAAGCGCAGUAAUGCGUGAAGCUAACCGGUACUAAUCGUCCGAUCGGCUUGAUUGACCACGCGCA